Molecule: ribosomal RNA, 253 nt
Filed under: uncultured bacterium
Lineage: Bacteria
Description: partial 16S ribosomal RNA
Rfam family: Bacterial small subunit ribosomal RNA
Source: RNAcentral
UACAGAGGUCCCAAGCGUUGUUCGGAUUCACUGGGCGUAAAGGGUGCGUAGGCGGUCGGGUAAGUCUGAUGUGAAAUCUCACAGCUUAACUGUGAAACUGCAUUGGAUACUAUCCGGCUAGAGGAAUGGAGGGGAGACUGGAAUACUUGGUGUAGCAGUGAAAUGCGUAGAUAUCAAGUGGAACACCAGUGGCGAAGGCGAGUCCCUGGACAUUUCCUGACGCUGAGGCACGAAAGCCAGGGGAGCAAACGGG